This is a long non-coding RNA of Populus trichocarpa (black cottonwood), 766 nucleotides long. RefSeq lists it as uncharacterized. The record is from RefSeq and is a predicted model, not a curated record. The transcript is spliced from 2 exons. NCBI's taxonomy places the organism in Eukaryota, Viridiplantae, Streptophyta, Magnoliopsida, Malpighiales, Salicaceae.
UGGGAAAUAAGUUAGACCCAUUUGAUACAAAAAGCUAUCAAUGGCUGUUCUCUUUGCAUAAACCGUCAAGUGCUAGAGACUUAGAAAGAUACAAGAGAACAUGGAGAACUGUUAACUCAGCAACAUAAAAAGCCUAGAGAAAUAGACUCAAAGGCAAGGAAAGGGAAGUGAAGAGAAGAGAAGAUGGUUGAGUGCUCUGAAUCAUUCAAGGGUGUUAAGAGGUAUCAAAGGAAUAAUAGCCACUUUGAGAAUGGGAAAAUGAACUUCUUACCGCCAGUAAUGGUAGAUAUUGGUUAUGGUUGCGUCUUCUACAAGCAUUUUCAAGUGGAUGGGGGGGUGGAAUUGACGGGACCCUGACCUAUCCUCGCAUAUCAAGAGACUCGGGAAGGUGAAGAGGGGAGGGGGGUUUCCUAGGGUUUCAGGUUCCUUGUUUUGAUCCAUCGUUUGCUAUUUUGGGCCCUUAAUUUUGAAGCUUUUCUAUGAGACGAAGUCUGGCAAAUUUAUGCCCUCUUUUGGUUGUUUUUCAAGUUUUAUCUAGUCCAAUUUAUCUAAGAGGCAAAAAGACUUAACUACAUGUGCAAAGUAGUACUUGCGUGUUUCUCUAGUGCUCAUUUUCAUCAACUUACCCCAGUCCCCUCUUCUCGUUUCCAUUUCAUCGUUCAGUGUUUUCGUUGAUUAUUGAAUAACUUACCCUGUAGUACUCCUAUUUGCAUGUCUAUACAUCUCUUAUCUCUUGUAUAUGACAAAGGUUUAAUUUGCUAUCUAA